RNAcentral lists this ribosomal RNA (460 nucleotides) under uncultured bacterium. RNAcentral's name for it is "partial 16S ribosomal RNA". It matches the Rfam family "Bacterial small subunit ribosomal RNA", at positions 338 to 795 of the family's 1533-position model. The record is from RNAcentral.
CCUACGGGUGGCAGCAGUGAGGAAUAUUGGUCAAUGGGCGGGAGCCUGAACCAGCCAAGUCGCGUGAAGGAUGACGGUCCUUCGUGUUGUAAACUUCUUUUAUCAAGGAACAAAGUCAGGCACGCGUGCCCUUCUGCAUGUACCCUAAGAACAAGCAUCGGCUAACUCCGUGCCAGCAGCCGCGGUAAUACGGAGGAUCCGAGCGUUUUCCGGAUUUAUUGGGUUUAAAGGGUGCGCAGGCGGGGUGUUAAGUCAAGUGUGAAAGUUCGCGGCUCAAACGCAAGAUGGCAGUUGAUACUGGUAGUCUUGAGUGGGGUAGAGGUAGGCGGAAUUCGUGGUGUAGCGGUGAAAUGCAUAGAUAUCACGAAGAACUCCGAUUGCGAAGGCAGCAUACUGGAUUGAGACUGACGCUGAGGCACGAAAGUGUGGGGAUCGAACAGGAUUAGAUACCCGUGUAGUC